Molecule: non-coding RNA, 124 nt
Organism: Picea glauca (white spruce)
Lineage: Eukaryota; Viridiplantae; Streptophyta; Pinopsida; Pinales; Pinaceae
Source: Rfam
UCUUAUGUACAUGUCUAUAGUGUUAAUGCACUGGAUCCCAUCAUAACUUCCCAGUUAAGUAUGCUUGGACUAGAGUAGUACUUGGAUGGGUGACCUCCCAGGAAUUCCUAGUGUUUUACAUGCC